Carassius auratus (goldfish) is the source of this 350-nucleotide long non-coding RNA. RefSeq lists it as uncharacterized. The transcript has 3 exons. The record is from RefSeq and is a predicted model, not a curated record. NCBI's taxonomy places the organism in Eukaryota, Metazoa, Chordata, Actinopteri, Cypriniformes, Cyprinidae.
GCAGAUAGCAAGAGAGAAAGCGUAGCUCGCUGGAUUUCAUCCACCACUUUAUGUCCUAAACAACAUUUGUACAGGUCACAGUGAACAGCAGAUUGUUGUCUCAAGCCAGUGCUGAUCAAUGACCGUUUAGCUGCAGUCUGUCAGAGAAGAGAGGAAAGAUGAGUCUCUCACACAAACAGAGUGUAAGAUCAGGAUCACAUGUGUCUGUGAAGAGUGACCGGUCAAAGGAUGAUGAUAAGCCGAACUUCAGUGAGAAAAAAACAUCUAUCAAAAGGUAUUUAUUAUCUUUGACAUUAUAAUGUUGUGUUGGCUUAUUUCUCCACUAAGAUGCUUGUGAUAGAAAUGAAUGA